Molecule: ribosomal RNA, 422 nt
Filed under: uncultured bacterium
Lineage: Bacteria
Description: bacterial SSU rRNA
Rfam family: Bacterial small subunit ribosomal RNA
Source: RNAcentral
UAAGGAAUAUUGGUCAAUGGACGCAAGUCUGAACCAGCCAUGCCGCGUGGAGGAUUAAGGCCCUCUGGGUUGUAAACUCCUUUUAUCUGGGAAGAAAUGUACUUUUUCUUGAGUACUUGACUGUACCAGAGGAAUAAGCACCGGCUAACUCCGUGCCAGCAGCCGCGGUAAUACGGAGGGUGCAAGCGUUAUCCGGAUUCACUGGGUUUAAAGGGUGCGUAGGUGGGCAGGUAAGUCAGUGGUGAAAUCUCCGGGCUUAACCCGGAAACUGCCGUUGAUACUAUUUGUCUUGAAUAUUGUGGAGGUAAGCGGAAUAUGUCAUGUAGCGGUGAAAUGCUUAGAUAUGACAUAGAACACCAAUUGCGAAGGCAGCUUACUACACAAUCAUUGACGCUGAGGCACGAAAGCGUGGGGAUCAAACA